UACGGGGGGAGCAAGCGUUGUUCGGAUUUACUGGGCGUAAAGGGCGCGUAGGCGGCGUGACAAGUCACUUGUGAAAUCUCCGGGCUUAACCCGGAGCGGCCAAGUGAUACUGUCGUGCUAGAGUGCGGAAGGGGCUACUGGAAUUCUCGGUGUAGCGGUGAAAUGCGUAGAUAUCGAGAGGAACACCUGCGGCGAAGGCGGCUACCUGGCCCAACAUUGACGCUGAGACCCGAAAGCAUGGGGAUCAAACAGG
Molecule: ribosomal RNA, 253 nt
Filed under: uncultured bacterium
Lineage: Bacteria
Description: partial 16S ribosomal RNA
Rfam family: Bacterial small subunit ribosomal RNA
Source: RNAcentral